GAGUAUCUUGGAGGUGUGUAGCAU
RNAcentral lists this non-coding RNA (24 nucleotides) under Cricetulus griseus (Chinese hamster). The record is from RNAcentral. Lineage: Eukaryota; Metazoa; Chordata; Mammalia; Rodentia; Cricetidae.